UAAGCGGCCAAUACCCGUCGUAAGUGACGGUACCGUAAGAGAAAGCCACGGCUAACUACGUGCCAGCAGCCGCGGUAAUACGUAGGUGGCAAGCGUUGUCCGGAAUUAUUGGGCGUAAAGGGCGCGCAGGCGGCGUCGUAAGUCGGUCUUAAAAGUGCGGGGCUUAACCCCGUGAGGGGACCGAAACUGCGAUGCUAGAGUAUCGGAGAGGAAAGCGGAAUUCCUAGUGUAGCGGUGAAAUGCGUAGAUAUUAGGAGGAACACCAGUGGCGAAAGCGGCUUUCUGGACGACAACUGACGCUGAGGCGCGAAAGCCAGGGGAGCAAACGGGAUUAGAUACCCGGUAGUCCUGGCCGUAAACGAUGGAUACUAGGUGUAGGAGGUAUCGACCCCUUCUGUGCCGGAGUUAACGCAAUAAGUAUCCCGCCUGGGGAGUACGGCCGCAAGGCUGAAACUCAAAGGAAUUGACGGGGGCCCGCACAAGCGGUGGAGUAUGUGGUUUAAUUCGACGCAACGCGAAGAACCUUACCAAGCCUUGACAUUGAUUGCCAGGGACAGAGAUGUCCCGUUCCUCUUCGGAGGACAAGAAAACAGGUGGUGCACGGCUGUCGUCAGCUCGUGUCGUGAGAUGUUGGGUUAAGUCCCGCAACGAGCGCAACCCCUAUCUUCUGUUACCAGCGAGUUAAGUCGGGGACUCAGGAGAGACUGCCGCAGACAAUGCGGAGGAAGGCGGGGAUGACGUCAAGUCAUCAUGCCCCUUAUGGCUUGGGCUACACACGUACUACAAUGGCUCUUAAUAGAGGGAGGCGAAGGAGCGAUCCGGAGCAAACCCCAAAAACAGAGUCCCAGUUCGGAUUGCAGGCUGCAACCCGCCUGCAUGAAGCAGGAAUCGCUAGUAAUCGCAGGUCAGCAUACUGCGGUGAAUACGUUCCCGGGCCUUGUACACACCGCCCGUCACACCACGAAAGUCAUUCACACCCGAAGCCGGUGAGGUAACCGCAAGGAGCCAAGCCGUCGAAGGUGGGGGCGGAUGAUUGGGG
Molecule: ribosomal RNA, 1039 nt
Filed under: Megasphaera sp. BL7
Lineage: Bacteria; Bacillati; Bacillota; Negativicutes; Veillonellales; Veillonellaceae
Description: bacterial SSU rRNA
Rfam family: Bacterial small subunit ribosomal RNA
Source: RNAcentral